CAGACGGCGGAGAGCAGAGAGGGAGCGCGCCUUGGCUCGCUGGCCUUGGCGGCGGCUCCUCAGGAGAGCUGGGGCGCCCACGAGAGGAUCCCUCACCCGGGUCUCUCCUCAGGGAUGACAUCAUCCGUCCACCUCCUUGUCUUCAAGGACCACCUCCUCUCCAUGCUGAGCUGCUGCCAAGGGGCCUGCUGCCCAUCUACACCUCACGAGGGCACUAGGAGCACGGUUUCCUGGAUCCCACCAACAUACAAAGCAGCCACUCACUGACCCCCAGGACCAGGAUGGCAAAGGAUGAAGAGGACCGGAACUGACCAGCCAGCUGUCCCUCUUACCUAAAGACUUAAACCAAUGCCCUAGUGAGGGGGCAUUGGGCAUUAAGCCCUGACCUUUGCUAUGCUCAUACUUUGACUCUAUGAGUACUUUCCUAUAAGUCUUUGCUUGUGUUCACCUGCUAGCAAACUGGAGUGUUUCCCUCCCCAAGGGGGUGUCAGUCUUUGUCGACUGACUCUGUCAUCACCCUUAUGAUGUCCUGAAUGGAAGGAUCCCUUUGGGAAAUUCUCAGGAGGGGGACCUGGGCCAAGGGCUUGGCCAGCAUCCUGCUGGCAACUCCAAGGCCCUGGGUGGGCUUCUGGAAUGAGCAUGCUACUGAAUCACCAAAGGCACGCCCGACCUCUCUGAAGAUCUUCCUAUCCUUUUCUGGGGGAAUGGGGUCGAUGAGAGCAACCUCCUAGGGUUGUUGUGAGAAUUAAAUGAGAUAAAAGAGGCCUCAGGCAGGAUCUGGCAUAGAGGAGGUGAUCAGCAAAUGUUUGUUGAAAAGGUUUGACAGGUCAGUCCCUUCCCACCCCUCUUGCUUGUCUUACUUGUCUUAUUUAUUCUCCAACAGCACUCCAGGCAGCCCUUGUCCACGGGCUCUCCUUGCAUCAGGUAGGGGCUUUGCAGAGACCAUCGACGGGCUGACUUGAGUAAGAACACGAAUUAUGCAUGUGGCCAUUUCCAGAGCACUUUCUAUGUGAUAUGAACAUGUGAUUUUUAUGUAAUAUGUGUAUGUAAACGAGGCAGCCUCAUUUCCAGGUGAGGAUGCAUUUGGUAGUGUUGAUUUUUGUAAUUUAAAGAAGCUGAAAGGGAGAGAGGACCCGUGAGGACUGAACUCUCUGUCCCAUGGGGUAGGGCUUACAUUUACAUUAAAGAAACAGAAACUUGCUGGGAGGUGUAAGUAUUUGGUCACAUUGCUGGCAACAGAAGGGGUUGGAGUUGGACCCAGGGUGCCACGCUAGCUGCCCUCACCCCUUCUUCCCCUCUGGCCCAGAGUUAUACUAAGAGUCCUUUUAUUUCAAACCAAAUGUUUGACAAUGGGACAGUCUGUUUGAAAUCCCAGCUGCCUGGGGUGGUCUUGGGGGUCUGGGUGGCCCCAGUGCUGGUACCAUGUGCUGGCUUCACCUUUUAAUAACAGUGUGACCUUAAACAAGUCGCUUAACUACUCUAAGUUUCAGUUUCUUUCAUGGUCUAAAUGGAGAUUAAAACACACACACACACACACACACACACACACACACACACACCCCCUCGUGUAUCUACCCCACAGGGCGCUUUUGAAGACCAAAUGCUGUAACUACUAUGAAAGUGCUUUGUAAAUUGCUGUGGAAAGUGUGAGCUACUCAAGCACCCGAGGCUGUCCCUCCUUGCUCACAUGUCCAGCCCAAUUCUCCCUUAGUGAGAACAGCACUCAGUAGGUGCUGUGUGUGUUUGUGUUCAAUUAAGAAAUUCCAGAAUAAAUAAAAAUGAAUUAAUUCAACAAACAUUUUCUGGGGCACCGACAAUCUGCCCAGUGCACCAGGCUAGGUAUCUGAUACAAAGAUAAUGAAAACAGUCUCUUGGAACCUAAUUGGGGUCCUCAUUUGACCAGGAAUUUCUUUCGUCCCGUUUUAAGCCAACCAGUUUUGUCCGGACAAGACAAAAACAACUUGGGCUGCUUUAGAGAAGCCCAGCUCAGUGUAGACAAUAGCUGCCCAGCCUCUGAAAGGGGCUGAUUGGAUUAUGUGGCAAAUGGAGGUGCAAGGAUGACUUGGACGGUGACAAAUGAAGUGGGCGGAGACCUGCUUUGAGUUAAUCCAGGCUAUUAGGAGGGGACCUUUUGUCUUCCAGAGACUGGCAGGAGCUUUUACCAGUGGUUUUUACAUCCUUAAUGUUCAGGACGAAUAAUUUAUGGUCAGUGAAAAUCCAGGCCCCAGUGAGAUUCGAGUGGGCUGUAAAAUCGAGAGUCCUGCUCCCAGUGAGUAAUGGUAGUGAAUGUUUCUGUCACUUUUUGCAACCGUCCAUUCAUUUGAUCCUCACAACUCCCUGUCCUGAGCCAGGACCGGCCACUGCCACUCCCAGGGAAACAGAGGCUGUCAAGAGGCUCCACAGAUUGGGCCCCACUGGAUCAUUGAACCCCUGUUCCCUGAGUUCUAGAGGAAGAAUUGUACCUGUCUCAGUCCCGGCCACCUCCAGAAGGCCUCCCUCUGCAUUUCUGACUUUGCUGUGCCGGCAGCCUGGAGCCUCCCAGGUCCCUGCUGUCAUCUUUUCUAGCCACUACAGUCUCUGUCUUUCCUUUCACAGCCAAGCUUCUUGAAAGGCCUGUCUACACUUGCUGUCUUCCUUCCUCACCUCCAAUUUCCUCUUCAACCCACUGCUUCCUGACUCGCUCUACUCCGUGGAAGCACGCUCACAAAGGUUCCCAGUGCCCCCGACAAGCCCCUGCUGGUGUCUCCAUCUCCUGCCAAGCAUCCUCCAGUGCCUCCUCCUGUGGGCCUGGCCUCAGGGCUAUGGACAGACUCCUGUCCCAUCCCAGAGACCCCUCGUGAUCGUGCCCUGGCACGUGGGCCGUGGCCCGGCUGGGUCGGCUGAAGAACUGCGGAUGGAAGCUGCGGAAGAGGCCCUGAUGGGGCCCACCAUCCCGGACCCAAGUCUUCUUCCUGGCGGGCCUCUCGUCUCCUUCCUGGUUUGGGCGGAAGCCAUCACCUGGAUGCCUACGUGGGAAGGGACCUCGAAUGUGGGACCCCAGCCCCUCUCCAGCUCGAAAUCGGCAGACUAGGAUGGAAGUGCCCUGUGAGCUGGGGGGCCCUUCAAAGGGCCAAGGAGAAAACGCAGGCCGAGGGACCAGCCUUCCAAAUGGGCUUCAAGCUCCAAUGACCUCCGCUCGCCCCCUCGAAAUGUCUGGAAAACAUAAUGGGCAGAUUUUCUGUCUUCAAAGUUUCCGGCUAAACCUCUUCAAGUUCUUUAUUGUUUGGGACUGAGACACUCAGCCAUGUUAAUGGGUAGUUUCUUUUGUAUUUGCCUUGAAAGGCCAAAAUAUUUUUAUAUUGCCACAGACAAAGCCACCUAUUUAAAAAUGAACUCCAUGUCCGUCGUUUCCCACCAGGAGACUAUGUACCAUGUGUGUGUCUCUAUGUAUUCUGGGGUCUUGAAACAGGUUUCUCAUGGGGAUGGUCAUUCACCACGGUCCAGAGGGGCAGAACAGGCGGCGCUUGCCUUGCCCAGGGGGCCUGGGGAACGUGGGCCCUCAUCUCAGAUCUGCCCCCAGUAUGUUUAGGACGCGAGCCCCAGAAGGAUCUGGGAGUAAACUUAACAUUCACUGUGUCUCUGCUCUGCAUCCGCCAUUUGUGUGUGUUUCUGGACUGUGGGCUGUGUGUACCUUGGUUGGUGACUCAGUGAGAAGAAGCAGGAAUGCCAAAGAUACUGUGAAUGUUCUGAGUUUUGUUGCUGUUGUUGUUGAGAGGUUGUUUCACUGGUAUCUAUUGCAUUGUAUAAUAAAUGACCAGAUGAAUGAAUGAGUGAAGCAAGAGAGAAUGAAUAAACAAGUAAAUAGGUAAAGAAGUAAGCAAGCCAGGAUGAGAGUGUGUGUACACAAGACCAUGGUUCAUCCGCUUUGAUGGCUAGGCAAUCAAUAUAUAAAUAGAAAAAAACCAGUGAAUCACUAAGUAAUAGGGCAACACACAAAGCGAUAUCAGGUGAUUAUGGACUAAGGGGUAUGUGUAACUCAAAUAUAUGCCUCUGACAUUUGACAAUGAAAAAGAACCUAAAUGAAAGAAAGAAUGGAUGUAUGAGUAGUGAAGUGCAGAAUGAGACAUAGAUUUUGAGGCCCGUCAAAAUGAAAAGAUGCAAGUUAGGGAACAAGUGAUCAAAAGGGAGAAGGGAAAGGUUUUUUUUAAAAAACCAAAACAACAAAGAAAGGUUAAAAAAAAAAACAGACUAGAGGAUGAGUAAUGAGUAACUCUGUAAGGAGGACCAUGUCAGACUAUUGUAAGCUAAGCAUUAGGACUGAUACAAAUAAUAUAUGCUCCUGGCAUAGAAAAAUAAACCACAGAGAACGAGUUCAAAGAAUAGCAAAGAAAGAAAGAGGACCCAGUGGGCGAAAGAUGAGAGUGUACUUUUACCAAAAGUUAUCUAAGCCUGAGCACUUGAAGUCUGCACAUAAAUAAAUAAAUGACAAAAGAAAGAAAAAAAGGCCAAAAAGUCUACAUUGCGUGUGUGGAUGGAUGAAUGAGCAGUGGGAGUGCAGCGCCAGGUGACAAGAUGUUGUGAGGGGUUUUGAGUCAUCCAGUCCUGGGCACUGAGGUCUGUUAGAUGAAAGGAUAUGAGAAAGGUAAUAUUGGUAAAUAAAGAAAUAGGAAACAAUGUAACAAAUGUUAAGUACAGAAAUACAUUAAUGGGUGGUAAAUAAAGAUGUAAAAGAAGGCAAUGCGAUCGAUGGUGGCAAAAGAUCAUCACAGAUUAAGGGCUAUGGCUGGUCCACUUCUAGAAAACCACAGGCUGUCCAUUAAAUAAUGAACAUCUAAGUGAACAAGUCAGUGAGUACCUAAAUAGACAAGGAUGAGGUGAAUGAGAAGACAUGGCCCCAUGGGUCCUCCUGAUGAGGGUGUUGGGGUCCCCCCUGGGCACCCCAGCUGCAUGAAAAUGAAGGACAGGAGGUAUGGAAAGCUAUGACAGAAGAGAGAAAGGAACGGUAAAAAGAAAUAACAACCAAAUGGAUAAAUGGGUAGAUCCACGAGAAGAGUUAGGCUAGGACUUGUCAUAAGGGCACCUGACUCCACUAAUAGAGGAAUAAAUGCCUAAUAAAAAGAGAGCAAGCAGGAAGGAAGGAUGCUAUGAAUGCAGGAAGGAAGUAAUGAGUGAGACGUGGAACCGCACGGCCAAGGAUGGACGUUUGCGGGUGGCUUUUUGAUGCGUACAGCCAAGCCACUCCAUGGCAAUGAGCUCCGAAGACAAAGUGCAAGAGAGAAUGAGUGAGAGAGUGAGAGAGAGAGAAACAAUAAAAAAUGGGAAGAAAUGUAAAAAGGAAGAAAGGAAGAGAGGUAAUAUAUUAAGGAAUAAAUACAUGCAUGCAGAUUUAAGACAGAGCCAUGCUAGAACAGGAAUGAAAGGCUGUGUGAACCAAGCAGACCGCUUAAUUGGCACCAGUGCUGCUGGUAUGGUCAAUCACCUACUCAACUAAGGAACGGCUCAAAGCAUACACAUGGGAGGGAGGAGUGGGGCCACAGAGAGAGGGCCCAUUAGUUGCAGAUUACGAUGUAUCCAGUUAGGUGCACCUGCCUUCGAGAAGUGUAAAAAUAAGUAUUUACAUAGAAAGAAAGACUGAAUGGAUGCACGGUGAAUGCAUGAAUGAUUGAACGACAGAAAAGAUUUGCAUUGACCGAUGAGGAGGGCAUUGUAGACAGGGAUGAGGGUCAUUGAUCCUGGGUGCAGAUCUCCAAAAGAAUGACAGAAAGAAAGAGGGAGUGGUGGAAAGAAACAAUAGGAUGGGAAAAAAUGAAAAUAGAAAAAAGGAAGUGAAAGAGAUAAUAAAUAAUUAGAUCAAAUAAGUUGAUGAAAGGGGACUGGUUUAGCACAAGCCAUCCACAUUAAUUCAAACCUGUGGCUCUGAAGUUUGUUUUUUAAAUGACCACAAGUGUAAGACUGAAUGAAAGAAUAAAUGCGUGCAUUCCAUAGGAUGCAAGAAAAGGAGUGAGGAAUGGGAAAAUUGGAAGAACGAGAGAGGGAGAGAUGUAAGAAAAGAAAGGAAAAGUGAAGUAGGCAUAUGAAAGAAAAGGCACUUCUUGGACAAGCACUGAAAUAUAAUGAGACAGUUUUACCCAUUAAAUAUAAUAAACAGUAAACGUUGAGGUUCAUCAAUAAAAGCACAGAUACCUGAAUAGAGGAGUGACCUGAAUAGAAUUCGUUCAGCCGAACGAAUGAGAAUGGAUGAUUUUCACUAUCCUGUGCACUCAAGGCCCAAAAGAGAAAGCAAGAGAGGAGAGAAUAUGGAAACGUAUGACAGGAUGUAUAUAAGCAAUACAAACAUAUUGAAUGAAUAAAUAAAGACAUAAAUAUGUGGGAGAGUGGACCACGCAAGGACAAAAAGAGGAGAGAAGGCAGCAAGAAUUAUGACUAAUUCAAAACUGGGUUCCUGAGAUAGUUAAAUAAAUCCUGCACCAAAUCCCCAGGGGGAGAAAUUAACAAACAAAAGACAGCCCCACACGGACCAGUGUGCAGAAGGCUCCAGGAACCGCAGAUUAUGGUUAAUCCAAUUCUGUGCACCUGAGGUCCAUAAAUAAAAGAAUAAGUAUUGAAAUGAAAGAAUGACAGAAAGAAUGAAUGGACACAUGAACGACUGAAUUAGAAAUGGAAAUGCCUGGCACAGCCAGGAAGGAGCUGCCCAUGGGAUUGUCAUUCAUCUCACUCUGGGCACCUGAGGUCCAUAAGCGUGAAAAGAGGCAGGAAGAGAAGUGUCAGGGAGUCAAAGAUAGAGCUAAGGAAAGGCAAAAAUGAAACUAAAUGAAAGCGAAAGGGAAAAUAAAGAAAAACCAAUAAAAAAGAGAACGAAUACGUGGGUGUAUCUGUAAGAGUAGGAUCUGUUAGGAUUAGUCAUAAGACUGUCAGUAAUCCUGAAGAUGGAUGAGAUAAUCCAGGCCCAGGUUCCCAGGGGGAGGGAAAAUGGAGAAAAUAUAAAAAGAUGUGAAAAAGGAAAAA
RNAcentral lists this long non-coding RNA (6984 nucleotides) under Homo sapiens (human). RNAcentral describes it as "non-protein coding lnc-DLK1-35:51". The stretch from base 525 to 629 matches the Rfam family "Maternally expressed 3 conserved region 2". Lineage: Eukaryota; Metazoa; Chordata; Mammalia; Primates; Hominidae. The record is from RNAcentral.